UAGGGAAUCUUCCGCAAUGGACGCAAGUCUGACGGAGCAAUGCCGCGUGAGUGACGAAGGUUUUCGGAUCGUAAAACUCUGUUGUAAGGGAAGAACAAGCCCCAUUUAACUGAUGGGGCCCUGACGGUACCUUACCAGAAAGCCACGGCUAACUACGUGCCAGCAGCCGCGGUAAUACGUAGGUGGCAAGCGUUGUCCGGAAUUAUUGGGCGUAAAGCGCGCGCAGGCGGUCCCUUAAGUCUGAUGUGAAAGCCCACGGCUCAACCGUGGAGGGUCAUUGGAAACUGGGGGACUUGAGUGCAGAAGAGGAAAGUGGAAUUCCAUGUGUAGCGGUGAAAUGCGUAGAGAUGUGGAGGAACACCAGUGGCGAAGGCGACUUUCUGGUCUGUAACUGACGCUG
Molecule: ribosomal RNA, 400 nt
Filed under: uncultured bacterium
Lineage: Bacteria
Description: bacterial SSU rRNA
Rfam family: Bacterial small subunit ribosomal RNA
Source: RNAcentral